RNAcentral lists this unclassified non-coding RNA (400 nucleotides) under soil metagenome. Its description in RNAcentral is "partial contains 5.8S ribosomal RNA, internal transcribed spacer 2, and large subunit ribosomal RNA". The stretch from base 1 to 122 matches the Rfam family "5.8S ribosomal RNA", at positions 35 to 154 of the family's 154-position model. The record is from RNAcentral.
GAUGAAGAACGUAGCGAAAUGCGAUACUUGGUGUGAAUUGCAGAAUCCCGUGAACCAUCGAGUCUUUGAACGCAAGUUGCGCCUCAAGCCAUUAGGUUGAGGGCACGUCUUCCUGGGCGUCACAUAUCGUUGCCUGAUGCCAGUUUCCUCGUGAUGGGUGACUGUGCAGGGCGAAUGAUGGCUUCCCGUGAGCAUUGUUGCCUCAUGGUUGGUUGAAAAUUGAGUCCUUGGUAGGGAGCGCCGUGAUAGAUGGUGGUUGAGUGACGAACGAGACCCAAUCAUGUGAGACCCCUACCGAAUUUGGCCUUCAUGACCCACAUGCGUCUUUGGAACGCUCAUGACGAGACCUCACGUCAGGCGGGGCUACCCGCUGAGUUUAAGCAUAUCAAUAAGCGGAGGA